GAAUAUGAAGCGAUUUAUUGCAAUUAGUUUCGACCUAAUUUUAGGUAAUACUACCCUU
RNAcentral lists this transfer RNA (58 nucleotides) under Amiota leucostoma. Its description in RNAcentral is "tRNA-Arg". Lineage: Eukaryota; Metazoa; Arthropoda; Insecta; Diptera; Drosophilidae. The record is from RNAcentral.